This 344-nucleotide RNase P RNA is filed under the name bovine gut metagenome. Its description in RNAcentral is "Bacterial RNase P class A". It matches the Rfam family "Bacterial RNase P class A". From Rfam's summary of the family: Ribonuclease P (RNase P) is a ubiquitous endoribonuclease, found in archaea, bacteria and eukarya as well as chloroplasts and mitochondria. Its best characterised activity is the generation of mature 5'-ends of tRNAs by cleaving the 5'-leader elements of precursor-tRNAs. The record is from RNAcentral.
UCGCUGCGAAGAGAUUCGGAGAGGAAAGUCGGGACAACACAGAGCACCAUACUUCCUAACAGGAAGGGGCAGGGGAGACUCUGUCACAGAUAGCGUCGCAGAAACUAUACCGCCGUGGAUUUUUAUUUCGCGGUAAGGGUGAAAACGUGAGGUAAGAGCUCACGCUAUGAUAUGGCAACAUAUUGUGGGGACAAGCCUUAUGGGUUGAAAUGCCAAAUAAACCGGAGAGUCUGCUUUGCAGACUAAGGGUUGCUCGUCCGAUUCCGGGGGGUAGGCAGAUAGAGGUGCGAGGUGACUCGCAUCGUAGAUAAAUGAUAGGACACGACAGAAUCCCGCUUAUAGAG